UGGGGAAUAUUGGGCAAUGGACGCAAGUCUGACCCAGCAACGCCGCGUGAAGGAAGAAGGCUUUCGGGUUGUAAACUUCUUUUGUCAGGGAAGAGUAGAAGACGGUACCUGACGAAUAAGCCACGGCUAACUACGUGCCAGCAGCCGCGGUAAUACGUAGGUGGCAAGCGUUGUCCGGAUUUACUGGGUGUAAAGGGCGUGCAGCCGGGCCGGCAAGUCAGAUGUGAAAUCUGGAGGCUUAACCUCCAAACUGCAUUUGAAACUGUAGGUCUUGAGUACCGGAGAGGUUAUCGGAAUUCCUUGUGUAGCGGUGAAAUGCGUAGAUAUAAGGAAGAACACCAGUGGCGAAGGCGGAUAACUGGACGGCAACUGACGGUGAGGCGCGAAAGCGUGGGGAGCAAACAG
Molecule: ribosomal RNA, 405 nt
Filed under: uncultured bacterium
Lineage: Bacteria
Description: bacterial SSU rRNA
Rfam family: Bacterial small subunit ribosomal RNA
Source: RNAcentral